Molecule: ribosomal RNA, 460 nt
Filed under: uncultured Eubacteriales bacterium
Lineage: Bacteria; Bacillati; Bacillota; Clostridia; Eubacteriales
Description: bacterial SSU rRNA
Rfam family: Bacterial small subunit ribosomal RNA
Source: RNAcentral
ACAAGCAGCGGAGCAUGUGGUUUAAUUCGAAGCAACGCGAAGAACCUUACCAGGGCUUUGACAUGCCGCUGACCGGUUUAGAGAUAGAUCUUUACCCUUCGGGUACAGCGGACACAGGUGGUGCAUGGUUGUCGUCAGCUCGUGUCGUGAGAUGUUGGGUUAAGUCCCGCAACGAGCGCAACCCUUGUCUUUAGUUGCCAUCAUUAAGUUGGGCACUCUAAAGAGACUGCCGAUGACAAAUCGGAGGAAGGUGGGGAUGACGUCAAAUCAUCAUGCCCUUUAUGUCCUGGGCUACACACGUGCUACAAUGGUCGGUACAACGAGAAGCAAGUCAGCGAUGGCAAGCAAAUCUCUAAAAGCCGAUCCCAGUUCGGAUUGCAGGCUGCAACUCGCCUGCAUGAAGUCGGAGUUGCUAGUAAUCGCGGAUCAGAAUGCCGCGGUGAAUGCGUUCCCGGGUCUU